UCCCUGGCGGUCCAGUGGUUAGGACUUGGCAUUUUCACUGUAAUAGCCUGGGUUCUAUCCCUAGUCAGGGAA
Non-coding RNA from Bos taurus (domestic cattle), 72 nucleotides. The record is from Rfam. Lineage: Eukaryota; Metazoa; Chordata; Mammalia; Artiodactyla; Bovidae.